Molecule: transfer RNA, 57 nt
Filed under: Bos taurus (domestic cattle)
Lineage: Eukaryota; Metazoa; Chordata; Mammalia; Artiodactyla; Bovidae
Also listed under: 4 other names
Rfam family: tRNA
About the family: Transfer RNA (tRNA) molecules are approximately 80 nucleotides in length.
Source: Rfam by way of RNAcentral
UGGCUCAGAGGUUAAAGCGUCUGCCUGCAAUGCAGGAGACCUAAGUUCGAUCCCUGG